UAUUGGACAAUGGGCGCAAGCCUGAUCCAGCAAUACCGCGUGUGUGAAGAAGGCCUUAGGGUUGUAAAGCACUUUCAAUUGGGAGGAAAACCUGCCGGUCAAUACCCGGUAGCUUGACAUUACCUUUAGAAGAAGCACCGGCUAACUCCGUGCCAGCAGCCGCGGUAAUACGGAGGGUGCGAGCGUUAAUCGGAAUUACUGGGCGUAAAGCGUGCGUAGGCGGUUCGUUAAGUCAGGUGUGAAAGCCCUGGGCUCAACCUGGGAACUGCAUUUGAAACUGGCGGACUAGAGUUUAGUAGAGGGGAGUGGAAUUUCAGGUGUAGCGGUGAAAUGCGUAGAUAUCUGAAGGAACACCAGUGGCGAAGGCGACUCCCUGGACUAGAACUGACGCUGAGUACGAAA
This 402-nucleotide ribosomal RNA is filed under the name uncultured bacterium. RNAcentral's name for it is "bacterial SSU rRNA". It matches the Rfam family "Bacterial small subunit ribosomal RNA", at positions 362 to 758 of the family's 1533-position model. The record is from RNAcentral.